AUGCAUUCUAGUUCUGGAAGAAAGUAUGAUUCUGGUGCCUUCAAGCGUAAGAAGAAACAGAAAUUAGAAGAAGAUGCUCAAAUUCAAAGGGGUGCUCUUGAUAAUAUGUUGGUACCCCAAACUAAUUCCGAAAAUCAUACUCCAGAUGGUAAUAUUGAUGAUGGUCAUGAUGAUAAUGCAGUAGAGGUUGGGGUUGUCACUGCAGAAAUUCAUGAAGUUGAUCAUGGUCAUGGUGAUAAUGCACAAGAGGAUGAGGUUGCCGCUACAGAAAUUGAUGAAGAUGAAGAUCAUGAUCCUAAUAUUUCAGAUGACAUGAAUAAUUCCGUUCAGCCUGAUAUAUUUGAUCCUAGAAAUUGGGAUGGACUUGAUCCUAAAAAGAUUGAUAUCUUGCUGCAAAAGGGUCAUAAAAGAGAAGAUAUUGAGUAUGGUCCUUAUGACAAGUUUUCUAGAAGGUUUUCUGCAUUAUCAUUUAGUAGAAUUCUCUCAAAUGGAGAAAAGUUUGACAGAGAGCGGCUUGUGUACAACAGCGGUCUCGAUAAAGCAUUUUGUUUUUGUUGCAAAUUAUUAAAAAGGGGGCAUGUGAGAGGACAGCUAGCAAAUGAGGGUUUAAGUGACUGGAUUCAUCUUGGGGCUAGACUAAAAGAGCAUGAAUCAAGUAGAGAGCAUAUCGCAAAUAUGACUGCAUGGUAUGACUUCCGUCUCAGGAUGCAGAAGAAUCAAACAAUUGAUAAAGUUGCUCAGCGAGAACUUGAAAAGGAAAAGGAGCAUUGGAGAAAAGUUUUUCUCAGGAUUUUGUUGAUUGUAAAAUUUCUUGCAGAACAUAAUAUAGCAUUUCGUGGCAGCAAUAGCAAGUUGUACCAAGAUAGCAAUGGGAAUUUCAUAGAAGAUUAA
RNAcentral lists this ribosomal RNA (891 nucleotides) under Triticum aestivum (bread wheat). Its description in RNAcentral is "partial small subunit ribosomal RNA". The record is from RNAcentral. Lineage: Eukaryota; Viridiplantae; Streptophyta; Magnoliopsida; Poales; Poaceae.